Molecule: long non-coding RNA, 2764 nt
Filed under: Lactuca sativa (garden lettuce)
Lineage: Eukaryota; Viridiplantae; Streptophyta; Magnoliopsida; Asterales; Asteraceae
Description: long non-coding RNA (LSAT_LNC007825)
Source: RNAcentral
AAAUUCAAGUCUUACGUAGGCAAGUAGAGGACCUUAAAUAUGAGGGUUAUCAACUUAGGAAAGGACAAAAACCCCAUAAGGCCCAACUAGGAGCUAAAAUAAAAGACUUUAGAAGAAUUCAAUCAGAAUACAGUGAAAAUUGUGAACUUUAUGACUAUAUUAAGAGACAAUUUGAUGCUGUAACCAAAGAACUUGAUGCUUUGAAAAUUAAGAGUGAGAAAAUAGAUGUUUGUUUCAAAAAUUAUACUGCGUCAAGUAAGACAGUCGAGUCCUUAUAUGAAACCCAAUUAAAAUUCAAAGAAAAACAAAACAAGGGUCUAGGGUAUGAUAGUGUUCCUCCACCUUUCAAUCAUAAUUACACAUCCAUCUCUAUGACACAGGACGAAAUUGACAGGGAGCCACAUAUUCGAUAUGGCAAACCAGCUGGUUUUGUUUCAAGAGGUUUUAUUAACAUUGAAAGUACUAAUGUUUCUAUUUCCACUACAGAUCAACCAUUAGAUCAAGCAAAGAGUGAAGCUGGAGAAUCUGUUUCUGUUAUUAAAUCUGAUUUUUCUGUUAUGAACAAUUUUCAUUGUGUUUCUGAUGUUAAGACUGAAAAUGUUUCUUGUGUUGGCUCAUCAUCUGAUACAGAUGAAUUUAAUUUUUUCGAUAUGUUUGAUGAAUUGUUUGGUAAUUCUGAUGCUUGUGAUUCUAAUGAAGAUUCAUCAACUCCAUAAGUCAAAACGACUGAGGCACCUUCAUUUAUCUCACAAUCUAUUUCUCAUGCAUGUUCUUCUGAGAAGAGUAAGAGUGUUUGUAAAGAAAAUAAAUCUGAAAAAUGUAAUACAAGUUCAAAUAAUAAACAGAUUUGUUUUAAUUAUGGUGUUGGUGGUCAUAUAUCUUGGAAUUGUCAAAAUAGGAUCUUUGUGAAUUACUUGUCACCAAGAGGAGAGAAUGAAUCCCGGGGAAGGUCUUUAAUUAGAAAUUCCUCAAGAUCUCGCUCUCAAAAUGAUGAUUGGAAAGGUGAUAGAGGCAGAAAAAGGACUGUUUUACAAAAGAAAAAAAAGGUUUUACUAACAAAACUCACAAUAGUUUGCCAAAACCGAACAAGGCUACGCCAAGAUCGGUCUCAUCAAAGGGCAGCUCUGGAUCUUCAACCUCCUCUGGUGGAAAAUCCAGAGGCUCAAGGAAAACCUUUAAGAAACAAAUUCCAAAACUAACUGAUAAUUUUGUAAAACCUAAAUAUCUAUGGAAGCCCAAAUCCCUUUCUAAUUUAUCAUUGAAAUCCUCUGAAGAAAGCAUGAACGAAGAUCCAAAUUUGAAAAUUCUGAAAAAUGAUUCAAAGAAACCAAAAGGGAAGCCAAUGAUAGUGAUGACCUGGGUUCCUAAGUCUAAAUGAUUCCGCUCAUUUUGCAGGGACAGUUGUGGAGGAAUGUCGUUCGUCCUUGGUACGUUGACAGCGGCUGCUCCCGGCAUAUGAUUGGAGACAUCUCCCAACUAAGCGAAAUUCAAUCUUUUAAUGGGGGUUAUGUUUCCUUUGCAGGCGGAGAUGGUGGAAAGAUCACACAGCGCAAAACUAUUACGAAUGGAGUGCCGAGCUUCGAAAAUAUCAACUACGCUCCCGAGUUAAAGCAUAGCUUGUUGAGCGUUUCCCAAAUAUGCGACAAAGGCUACUCUACCCAUUUUACUAAUAAAGAGUGUAUGAUUCUCAAGCCAGGCAUUGUCAUCCCAGAAGAAUGGAUUCUAGUCAAAUCUAAACGGGAUGGGAAUGCUUAAAUUAUUGAUAUGAACUGUAACCUACCUGAACAAGUUACUUGUCUAUUCUCAAAGGUCUCCGAACACAACGCAAUGCUGUGGCAUCGAAGACUCGGUCAUGCUAACGCGAAAAACCUGAAUCGUCUUACGAAAAAUGAGAUGGUCUGAGGCCUCCCUAUCAGAGACUUUAUCACAUUUGAAAAGUGUGUUUCCUGUGCUCAAGGCAAACAUCAUCGGAAACCACAUCUGCGCAAGCAAAUCAACUCAAUCAGUCAAGUGCUCCAACUAUUGCAUAUGGACUUAUUUGGUCCGGUCAAUGUCUUGAGCAUCAACAGAAGCUCGUACUGUCUAGUUGUGAUUGAUGAUUUCUCUCGGUUUACGUGGGACUUCUUCUUAUCCAACAAAGCGGCGGUUGUUGAUCUGAUAAAGAAGUUCAUUGUGAUGAUUGAGAAGCAAACCAAUAAACAAGUGAAGGCACUUCGUACCGAAAAUGGAACUGAGUUCAAGAAUGCUGCUCUUGACCAUUUUUGCGUAGAAAAAGGAAUAGUGCGUCAAUAUAGCUCUGCUCACACGCCUCAACAAAAUGGUGUUGCUGAAAGGAGAAAUAGAACAUUGAAAGACGCCGCAAGGACAAUGCUUUGUGACUCCAAACUACCNAACUAGGAGCUAAAAUAAAAGACUUUAGAAGAAUUCAAUCAGAAUACAGUGAAAAUUGUGAACUUUAUGACUAUAUUAAGAGACAAUUUGAUGCUGUAACCAAAGAACUUGAUGCUUUGAAAAUUAAGAGUGAGAAAAUAGAUGUUUGUUUCAAACAUUAUACUGCGUCAAGUAAGACAGUCGAGUCCUUAUAUGAAACCCAAUUAAAAUUCAAAGAAAAACAAAACAAGGGUCUAGGGUAUGAUAGUGUUCCUCCACCUUUCAAUCAUAAUUACACAUCCAUCUCUAUGACACAGGACGAAAUUGACAGGGAGCCACAUAUUCGAUAUGGCAAACCAGCUGGUUUUGUUUCAAGAGGUUUUAUUAACAUUGA